This 336-nucleotide unclassified non-coding RNA is filed under the name soil metagenome. RNAcentral describes it as "partial contains 5.8S ribosomal RNA, internal transcribed spacer 2, and large subunit ribosomal RNA". The stretch from base 1 to 121 matches the Rfam family "5.8S ribosomal RNA", at positions 35 to 154 of the family's 154-position model. The record is from RNAcentral.
GAUGAAGAACGUAGCGAAAUGCGAUAAGUAAUGCGAAUUGCAGAAUUUCCGUGAAUCAUCGAAUCUUUGAACGCACAUUGCGCCCGCCAGUAUUCUGGCGGGCAUGCCUGUUCGAGCGUCAUUUCAACCAUCAAGCCCCCGGCUUGUGUUGGGGACCUGCGGCUGCCGCAGGCCCUGAAAACCAGUGGCGGGCUCGCUAGUCACUCCGAGCGUAGUAAUACAUCUCGCUCAGGGCGUGCUGCGGGUUCCGGCCGUUAAAAAGCCUUAUUUACCCAAGGUUGACCUCGGAUCAGGUAGGAAGACCCGCUGAACUUAAGCAUAUCAAUAAGCGGAGGA